Molecule: ribosomal RNA, 474 nt
Filed under: uncultured bacterium
Lineage: Bacteria
Description: partial 16S ribosomal RNA
Rfam family: Bacterial small subunit ribosomal RNA
Source: RNAcentral
GAUGAACGCUAGCGGCAGGCCUAACACAUGCAAGUCGAGGGAUAAGCCUUCGGGCUGCAACCGGCGCACGGGUGCGUAACGCGUAUACAAUCUGCCUUUCACAUAGGGAUAGCCCGGAGAAAUUUGGAUUAAUACCUAAUUGUAUAUAAGAGUGGCAUCAUUUUUAUAUUAAAGCUUUGGUGGUGAAAGAUGAGUAUGCGUUCUAUUAGCUAGUUGGAGAGGUAACGGCUCCCCAAGGCGACGAUAGAUAGGGGUUCUGAGAGGGAUGUCCCCCACACUGGUACUGAGAUACGGACCAGACUCCUACGGGAGGCAGCAGUGAGGAAUAGUGGACAAUGGUCGGAAGACUGAUCCAGCCAUGCCGCGUGCAGGACGACGGUCCUAUGGAUGGUAAACUGCUUUUGUAAGGGAAGAAUAAGGAGUACGUGUACUUUGAUGACGGUACCUUACGAAUAAGCAUCGGCUAACUCCGUG